GGGAUCGAUCAGGAGCAGGAGACCAAGAACAAACCCUAUAGUUUUCAGAAAAUCACAAGAUUGAGAAGGAAUUUAGUGCCUAAACUGAUGCAUGAACUCCAAUCUUUAACCAUCUAAGCUUGUUCAACACAAGGUAUAAAGGAAGAAAGUUCGAGUCAAGCAAAGCAACAAGGGAAUCAAGAUCGAGGUAAAUCUCAAGUUUAGCUAUCAAGCUUCGCCGGUUCGAACACACUUCAAGCUCGUCAUGCGUUCCGCAGCUUUUGUAAAGAAGACAAUGUUAAUAUGUUUUGUCUCUUUAGUUAUGUCUAGUAGUUAAAAACUUAAGUUUUAUCUUGUUUGCCUUUUUAAAACUUAGUCGGUUGUAAGUGUCUUAGCAUGAUGGGUUCGUAUGUGAAACCAAGGUCCGUUUUGAUGUAGUACAUUAAGUCUUUUGAAA
Molecule: long non-coding RNA, 436 nt
Organism: Helianthus annuus (common sunflower)
Lineage: Eukaryota; Viridiplantae; Streptophyta; Magnoliopsida; Asterales; Asteraceae
Exons: 3
Source: RefSeq, a predicted model, not a curated record